UACGUAGGGCGCAAGCGUUAUCCGGAAUUAUUGGGCGUAAAGAGCUCGUAGGCGGUUUGUCGCGUCUGCUGUGAAAACCCGAGACUCAACCUCGGGCCUGCAGUGGGUACGGGCAGACUAGAGUGCGGUAGGGGAGAUUGGAAUUCCUGGUGUAGCGGUGGAAUGCGCAGAUAUCAGGAGGAACACCGGUGGCGAAGGCGGAUCUCUGGGCCAUUACUGACGCUGAGGAGCGAAAGCGUGGGGAGCGAACAGG
Molecule: ribosomal RNA, 253 nt
Filed under: uncultured bacterium
Lineage: Bacteria
Description: partial 16S ribosomal RNA
Rfam family: Bacterial small subunit ribosomal RNA
Source: RNAcentral